GACGAACCGAGCGAACGUUGUUCGGAAUCACUGGGCUUAAAGGGCGCGUAGACGGGCUGUCGCGUCCGGGGUGAAAUCCCACGGCUCAACCGUGGAACUGCCUCGGAUACGGGCGGCCUCGAGGGGGGUAGGGGCAUCUGGAACUGUGAGUGGAGCGGUGAAAUGCGUUGAUAUUCACAGGAACUCCGGUGGCGAAGGCGAGGUGCUGGACCCCUCCUGACGCUGAUGCGCGAAAGCCAGGGGAGCAAACGGG
This 253-nucleotide ribosomal RNA is filed under the name uncultured bacterium. RNAcentral describes it as "partial 16S ribosomal RNA". It matches the Rfam family "Bacterial small subunit ribosomal RNA", at positions 524 to 776 of the family's 1533-position model. The record is from RNAcentral.